GGAUCAAUAUGUUGGUCGUGCUUUGGUACGUACUAGUUUAUUGAUUCCUACCUUCUGACGAACCAUGAUGUCAUUAAUUUGGUGUCUUGGGGAAUCAGGACUGUUACUUUGAAAAAAUAGAGUGUUUAAAGCAGGCUCACGCUUGAAUACAUUAGCAUGGAAUAACGAAAUAGGACGUUCGAUUCUAUUUUGUUGGUUUCUAGGAUCGACGUA
This 213-nucleotide ribosomal RNA is filed under the name Campeiostachys nutans. Its description in RNAcentral is "Elymus nutans partial small subunit ribosomal RNA". It matches the Rfam family "Eukaryotic small subunit ribosomal RNA", at positions 651 to 864 of the family's 1831-position model. The record is from RNAcentral. Lineage: Eukaryota; Viridiplantae; Streptophyta; Magnoliopsida; Poales; Poaceae.